RNAcentral lists this ribosomal RNA (2963 nucleotides) under human gut metagenome. RNAcentral describes it as "bacterial LSU rRNA". It matches the Rfam family "Bacterial large subunit ribosomal RNA". The record is from RNAcentral.
CCACGGGCGCACGGCGGAUGCCUUGGCACAGGGAGCCGAUGAAGGACGCGGCAAGCUGCGAUAAUCCCCGGCGAGGAGCACACAUCCUUCGACCCGGGGGUCUCCGAAUGGGCGAACCCAUCCGUAGCAGUACGGAUAUCCCGACCCCGAACACAUAGGGGCCGGGAGGACAACCCGGGGAACUGAAACAUCUAAGUACCCGGAGGAGAGGAAAUCAAUCUCGAGACUCCCCGAGUAGCGGCGAGCGAAAGGGGACCGAUGGCCAAACCGUCGAGCGGGCAUACCCGGCAGGGGUUCCGCCGACGGGGUUGCAGGGCCGCGCAUCCGGGGGCUGCCGCCCCCGGGCGCAGGUCCGGCUGGGGAGCGGAACGGCAUGGGAGGGCCGGCCGCAGCGGGUGACAGCCCCGUACGCGAACCCAGACCGGACGGCGCGACGCGGUCCCUGAGUAGGGCCGGGCACGUGAAACCCGGUCCGAACCUGGGUGGACCACCAUCCAAGCCUGAGUACUACCCUGUGACCGAUAGCGCACCAGUACCGUGAGGGAAAGGUGAAAAGCACCCCGGGAGGGGAGUGAAACAGUACCUGAAACCGUGCGCCCACGAGCAGUCGGAGCACCUAUAUGGUGUGACGGCGUGCCUUUUGUAGAAUGAGCCAGCGAGUCGCUGGCGCGGGGCGAGGUUAACCGAAAGGGAGCCGGAGCGAAAGCGAGCCUUAACAGGGCGACUUGAGUCCCGCGCCGCGGACGCGAAGCCGGGUGAGCUAUCCGUGGGCAGGCUGAAGCGGGGGUAAGACCCCGUGGAGGGCCGAACGCACGUCGGUUGAAAACGGCGGCGAUGACCUGCGGAUAGGGGUGAAAGGCCAAUCAAACCCGGAGAUAUCUCGUUCUCCCCGAAAUAGCUUUAGGGCUAGCGUCGCGCGUUCACCGCCGGAGGUAGAGCACCGGAUGGACGAGGGGGCUUCGCCGCCUACCGAAUCCAACCGAACUCCGAAUGCCGGCGGCCCAGAGCGCGGCAGUCAGAGCAUGUGGGCUAAGCUGUGUGCUCGAGAGGGAAACAGCCCGGACCGCCCGCUAAGGUCCCCAAGUUCCAGCCGAGUGGCAAAGGAUGUGCGUCCGCCCAGACAACCAGGAUGUUGGCUUAGAAGCAGCCAUGCAUUCAAAGAGUGCGUAACAGCUCACUGGUCGAGUGGACAUGCGCCGACAAUACACGGGGCUAAGCUGGACACCGAAGCGGCGGGAUUUUACCUAAGUAGAAUCGGUAGGGGAGCUUCCCAUGGGCGGUGAAGCCGCCGGGCGACCGGCGGUGGAGCGCAUGGGAGUGAGAAUGCUGGCAUGAGUAGCGAGAGACGAGAGAGUAACUCGUCCGCCGUGAACCCGAGGUUUCCUGGGCAAGGCUAAUCCUCCCAGGGUCAGUCGGGGGCUAAGGCGAGGCCGGGAGGCGUAGCCGACGCGCAGCAGGCAGACAUUCCUGCACCGCGCACGCGGCGCUACGACCGACGGGGCGACGGAUGGGGGUGGCUCGGCGGGGUUCUGGACGUCCCCGUGAUGGAGCGCGGCCCGCGGACCAGGGAAAUCCGGUCCGCACGAGGGCGAGGCUCCGGACGAAGCGACUGAGCGAAGCGAGUGAGCCCGAGGUCCCUAGAAAAACCCCUAGGCAGGCGCGUGCGCGCCCGUACCGCAAACCGACACAGGUGGGUGGGUAGAACAUACCGAGGCGAUCGGGUCAACCAUGGUCAAGGAACUCGGCACAAUGGCCCCGUAACUUCGGGAGAAGGGGUGCCCGCGCGUACGUGAACGGACUUGCUCCGGGAGCGGAGGCGGGCCGCAGUGGAGAGGCCCAAGCGACUGUUUACCAAAAACACAGGACUCUGCAGAAGCCGCAAGGCGACGUAUAGGGUCUGACGCCUGCCCGGUGCCGGAAGGUCACGCGGAGGAGUUAGCCGCAAGGCGAAGCCCCGAAGCCAAGCCCCGGUAAACGGCGGCCGUAACUAUAACGGUCCUAAGGUAGCGAAAUUCCUUGUCGGGUAAGUUCCGACCUGCACGAAAGGCGCAACGACUUGGGCGCUGUCUCGACCAUGGACCCGGUGAAAUUGCACUGGUCGUGAAGAUGCGACUUACCCGCGGAAGGACGGAAAGACCCCGUGAACCUUCACUGCAGCUUGGCAUUGGCCGCUGGUCCCGCGUGUAGAGGAUAGGCAGGAGGCUAAGAUCCGGAGGCGCCAGCCCCCGGGGAGCCGCCCUUGGAAUACUGCCCUCGCGCGACCGGCGUCCUAACCCGAGGCCGUCAACCGGCUCGGGGACCGUGCCAGGCGGGCAGUUUGACUGGGGCGGUCGCCUCCUAAAGGGUAACGGAGGCGCGCGAAGGUCCGCUCGGGACGGUCGGCAACCGUCCUUUUGAAUGCAAGAGUACAAGCGGGCUUGACUGCGAGGCCCACAAGCCGAGCAGGUGCGAAAGCAGGCUCUAGUGAUCCGGCGGCCCCGAGUGGGUGGGCCGUCGCUCAACGGAUAAAAGGUACUCCGGGGAUAACAGGCUGAUCUUGCCCAAGAGUCCACAUCGACGGCAAGGUUUGGCACCUCGAUGUCGGCUCAUCGCAUCCUGGGGCUGGAGCAGGUCCCAAGGGUACGGCUGUUCGCCGUUUAAAGCGGUACGCGAGCUGGGUUCAGAACGUCGUGAGACAGUUCGGUCCCUAUCCUCCGUGGGCGCAGGAGAAUCGAUGGAGGCUGCCCCCAGUACGAGAGGACCGGGGUGGACGCACCUCCGGUGAACCGGUUGUCGACCAACGGCACGGCCGGGUAGCCGCGUGCGGCGCGGAUAACCGCUGAAGGCAUCUAAGCGGGAAGCCGUUCCAGGGAUUAGUUCUCCUUCCGGUAAGGGCCCAGGUAGACUACCUGGUCGAUAGACGGCAGGUGCAAGGACGGCGACGUCCUCAGCCGAGCCGCACUAAUCGCCCGAGCUCUUCCGGA